AGCACUGGCUAACUACGUGCCAGCAGCCGCGGUAAUACGUAGGGUGCGAGCGUCGUCCGGAAUUAUUGGGGCGUAAAGAGCUCGUGGGCGGUUUGUCGCGUCGUUCGUGAAAACUCCACGCUUAAACGUGGAGCGUGCGGGCGAUACGGGCAGACUUGAGUUCGGUAGGGGAGACUGGAAUUCCUGGUGUAGCGGUGAAAUGCGCAGAUAUCAGGAGGAACACCGGUGGCGAAGGGCGGGUCUCUGGGCCGAUACUGACGCUGAGGAGCGAUAGCGUGGGGAGCGAACAGGAUUAGAUACCCUGGUAGUCCACGCUGUAAACGUUGGGCGCUAGGUGUGGGCGACAUCCACGUUGUCCGUGCCGUAGCUAACGCAUUAAGCGCCCCGCCUGGGGAGUACGGCCGCAAGGCUAAAACUCAAAGGAAUUGACGGGGGCCCGCACAAGCGGCGGAGCAUGUGGAUUAAUUCGAUGCAACGCG
RNAcentral lists this ribosomal RNA (479 nucleotides) under Amycolatopsis sp. Its description in RNAcentral is "bacterial SSU rRNA". It matches the Rfam family "Bacterial small subunit ribosomal RNA", at positions 488 to 963 of the family's 1533-position model. Lineage: Bacteria; Bacillati; Actinomycetota; Actinomycetes; Pseudonocardiales; Pseudonocardiaceae. The record is from RNAcentral.